Molecule: ribosomal RNA, 253 nt
Filed under: uncultured bacterium
Lineage: Bacteria
Description: partial 16S ribosomal RNA
Rfam family: Bacterial small subunit ribosomal RNA
Source: RNAcentral
UACGGGGGGGGCAAGCGUUGUUCGGAAUUACUGGGCGUAAAGGGCUCGUAGGCGGCGCGGUAAGUCGGGUGUGAAAUCUUGGAGCUUAACUCCGAAACUGCAUUCGAUACUGCCGUGCUUGAGGACUGGAGAGGAGACUGGAAUUUACGGUGUAGCGGUGAAAUGCGUAGAUAUCGUAAGGAAGACCAGUGGCGAAGGCGGGUCUCUGGACAGUUCCUGACGCUGAGGCACGAAGGCCAGGGGAGCAAACGGG